UACGUAGGGGGCAAGCGUUGUCCGGAUUUAUUGGGCGUAAAGAGCGUGUAGGCGGCUUUGCAAGUCCGUUGUGAAAACUCGAGGCUCAACCUCGAGACGCCGGUGGAAACUGCAAAGCUAGAGUCCGGAAGAGGAGAGUGGAAUUCCUGGUGUAGCGGUGAAAUGCGCAGAUAUCGGGAAGAACACCCGUGGCUAAGGCGGCUCUCUAGUACGGUACUGACGCUGAGACGCGAAAGCGUGGGGAGCGAACAGG
Molecule: ribosomal RNA, 253 nt
Filed under: uncultured bacterium
Lineage: Bacteria
Description: partial 16S ribosomal RNA
Rfam family: Bacterial small subunit ribosomal RNA
Source: RNAcentral